CAUGAACUGGUCGUGCAGGCUUUCGAUCUGACCUGCAAUGAAAUCGACAAAGCCUGACGGCACAGACUUGUUGAAUGUCAGCUUCGCAGCCGACUUGCCGCGUUGGAUCUGGCCAAGCACGAGGCCAUGAGAGAUCAGAUCGCUCGUGGAAGACGCUGCAGCCCUCACAUCAACCUUGGUAAGGGCUUCAAAAACCGCAGUGAAGCGUAGAUCGCUGGAAGAGGCUUGAAUCUGCUCUUGCUCCAGAACCAACUGCGCCACCUUCGCGGGCUCCCGGUGAGCCGCCCAGCGCACUUCGAACUCGAUCCAUCUACGCCGUCCGAUUUCAGGAGCCGGACCAAUCUGCAUCAGGAUCUCGCGCGGCAAUGCUGCCGCUAUCCGGAUCAUUUCGGAGAUAUGCGACCUGCCGGUGCUCAGGGACUUGCAGAUCACGUCGCGGCGAUAGCCGGCAGCCUCCUGCGAUUGCGCAAAAAGGCAUCGCUCGAUGAAGGACAGGUCCUUGCGGUUGCUGUUCUCUUCCCCUUGGAGAACGAUCGCAUCUUCGUCGCUAAGUUCCCGGGCGAUUGCCUUGAACUUGAUGCCGAGGAGUUU
This 591-nucleotide small RNA is filed under the name Sinorhizobium meliloti 2011. RNAcentral describes it as "putative ncRNA". Lineage: Bacteria; Pseudomonadati; Pseudomonadota; Alphaproteobacteria; Hyphomicrobiales; Rhizobiaceae. The record is from RNAcentral.